Molecule: non-coding RNA, 203 nt
Organism: Pelobates cultripes (western spadefoot toad)
Lineage: Eukaryota; Metazoa; Chordata; Amphibia; Anura; Pelobatidae
Source: the annotation of a GenBank genome assembly
GUCCAAUGGGCCCAUGGGCCAGCCCACCUGUCAAAACUCCUGAUGAACUCACUGAUUGACAAGUAUUUUGAAGCACCAGGCAUCACUACUUUAACACAGAAUUAUUGUAAAUCCUGUACUAUAUGUGCUAAAUGCAAUCCUGGGAAAGUUAUAAAGACUGCACCUAACCACCUAGCUAAGCCACAAUAUCCCUUUCAGAGGAU